GACGUUGUAGUAUAGUGGUGAGUAUUCCCGCUUGUCACCCGGGUGACCCGGGUUCGAUCCCUGGCAACGGCG
This 72-nucleotide transfer RNA is filed under the name Nicotiana sylvestris (wood tobacco). It matches the Rfam family "tRNA". From Rfam's summary of the family: Transfer RNA (tRNA) molecules are approximately 80 nucleotides in length. Their secondary structure includes four short double-helical elements and three loops (D, anti-codon, and T loops). Lineage: Eukaryota; Viridiplantae; Streptophyta; Magnoliopsida; Solanales; Solanaceae. RNAcentral also lists the same sequence under 1 other name. The record is from Rfam by way of RNAcentral.